This is a non-coding RNA of Phrynosoma platyrhinos (Desert horned lizard), 71 nucleotides long. The record is from the annotation of a GenBank genome assembly. Lineage: Eukaryota; Metazoa; Chordata; Lepidosauria; Squamata; Phrynosomatidae.
GCCAGCAUGGUGUAGUGGUUUGAGUGUUGGACUACAACUCUGGAGACCAGGGUUCAAUUCCUAGCUUGGCC